AUGCGCGCGGACAACUCUCUCGUGUUGACGCCCCCACUCCCUCCGCUUCUCCUCGUCGCCUCCCCUCGCGCCACCGUCACCGUCCGAGAAGCACCGCGGCCACUACUACUCUGCAUCGUGCCGAGCUUGCCACCGCCGCCGCUCUCCCGGUCGAGCUCGUCCCUCACCACCGGCCCUCAAGUUGUGGAGGGGCAACAGGCAGCGGUGGACGAGGAAAUCUACCACCAACCGCCGCCGCAUGUCUUCCUGCUUCGCCAUCAACGCGAGGAGCACCGGAGCGUGUCCUCAAGUUGGUGCUCCUCCGGGAAGAGGACAACCCGAGAUCUGUCAUGGAGGUCAACCCUGACGUCGGCCUUGUCGGAUUGGAGCGGCAGUGCGGUGGUUGGUCUACUGUGGCGGCUCGCUGGAGGCAGCAGCAACCCAAUCGGCACCGCCAUCUCCUUCCCUAUCCAUGAGCCAACCUCUGUCUUCCUCCCCGACGGCGGCGUCGAACCAACACUGGGUUAUGCUACCCUUGGCCGUGGCCUAACACGCGCGGACUGA
Molecule: ribosomal RNA, 543 nt
Filed under: Triticum aestivum (bread wheat)
Lineage: Eukaryota; Viridiplantae; Streptophyta; Magnoliopsida; Poales; Poaceae
Description: partial small subunit ribosomal RNA
Source: RNAcentral